GAUUAACGCUAGCGGCAGGCCUAAUACAUGCAAGUCGAGGGGCAGCAGGGUGUAGCAAUACAUCGCUGGCGACCGGCGCACGGGUGCGUAACACGUAUGCAACCUACCUUUAACUGGGGAAUAGCCCUCCGAAAGGAGGGUUAACACCGCAUAACAUCACGAGACGGCAUCGCCUUGUGAUCAAACCUCCGGGGGUUAAAGAUGGGCAUGCGUCCGAUUAGCUAGUUGGCGGGGUAACGGCCCACCAAGGCGACGAUCGGUAGGGGUCUGAGAGGAUGAUCCCCCACACUGGUACUGAGACACGGACCAGACUCCUACGGGAGGCAGCAGUAAGGAAUAUUGGACAAUGGUCGCAAGACUGAUCCAGCCAUGCCGCGUGCAGGAUGAACGAUCUAUGAUCUGUAAACUGCUUUUGUUCGGGAAUAAACCCCUUCACGUGUGGAGGGCUGAAUGUACCGAAAGAAUAAGGGUCGGCUAACUUCGUGCCAGCAGC
RNAcentral lists this ribosomal RNA (493 nucleotides) under uncultured bacterium. RNAcentral describes it as "bacterial SSU rRNA". It matches the Rfam family "Bacterial small subunit ribosomal RNA", at positions 28 to 515 of the family's 1533-position model. The record is from RNAcentral.